CUUGGCGGCCAUAGCGUCCUGGACCCACUCCUUCCCAUUACGAACAGGACAGUGAAACGGGACUGCGCCGAGGAUAGUGCGGAUUCCCCGUGUGAAAGUAGGUCACCGCCAGGC
This 114-nucleotide ribosomal RNA is filed under the name Burkholderiales bacterium. Lineage: Bacteria; Pseudomonadati; Pseudomonadota; Betaproteobacteria; Burkholderiales. The record is from RNAcentral.